UGGGGUGACGGUAGGGGUAGAAGAAGCACCGGCCAACUACGUGCCAGCAGCCGCGGUAAUACGUAGGGUGCGAGCGUUGUCCGGAAUUAUUGGGCGUAAAGAGCUCGUAGGCGGUCUGUCGCGUCGGUCGUGAAAACUUGGGGCUUAACCCUGAGCUUGCGGUCGAUACGGGCAUGACUGGAGUUCGGCAGGGGAGACUGGAAUUCCUGGUGUAGCGGUGAAAUGCGCAGAUAUCAGGAGGAACACCGGUGGCGAAGGCGGGUCUCUGGGCCGAUACUGACGCUGAGGAGCGAAAGCGUGGGGAGCGAACAGGAUUAGAUACCCUGGUAGUCCACGCCGUAAACGGUGGGCGCUAGGUGUGGGGGCCAUUCCACGGUCUCUGUGCCGCAGCUAACGCAUUAAGCGCCCCGCCUGGGGAGUACGGCCGCAAGGCUAAACUAAG
This 442-nucleotide ribosomal RNA is filed under the name uncultured Pseudonocardia sp. Its description in RNAcentral is "bacterial SSU rRNA". It matches the Rfam family "Bacterial small subunit ribosomal RNA", at positions 465 to 904 of the family's 1533-position model. Lineage: Bacteria; Bacillati; Actinomycetota; Actinomycetes; Pseudonocardiales; Pseudonocardiaceae. The record is from RNAcentral.